CGUAUAAAAGCUAAAUGCAGUCAAACCAGUGUCAGCUAUUUGAGCCUUAUGAACCCCUGGUUAUACUUGUUGAGUACGAUAUGUGCUCACUCUUGCAAUUUCCCAACACCUCAGGAUAUGAUAAUGAAGAUGACUGGAAUGAGAAUUACCGUUAUGAGUAUUAGGUUUGGAGUCAACCAGUCAACAGUGUCUCUGUGUGGAGCUUUCGCCGAGAGCGUUGUUUACU
RNAcentral lists this long non-coding RNA (226 nucleotides) under Sorghum bicolor (sorghum). RNAcentral's name for it is "long non-coding RNA (SBIC_LNC003336)". The record is from RNAcentral. Lineage: Eukaryota; Viridiplantae; Streptophyta; Magnoliopsida; Poales; Poaceae.